GGGCUCUGGGGGAAAAGGCGGUGGGCUGCAGGGACUUUUGCAAAACUUGGGACCUUUAGGUCAAGGCUUGUCCUCCGGAGGAUCAGCGGGCAAAGGAGGAAGUCCACGGCACGGGCAAAGGUCAGGUUCUCAGCGCCAAGGCUUAACGUCAGGUGGAUCUGAGAGCCGAGGAAGGAAGGGCUAUCCUCGAGGCGGCUACCAAGACGAUGACGUCAUGGGACAAAGGAAACGGGGCAAAUAAAGUCCAUUUCACGGCUGCGCCGGAGCCGUCAUCCACUGGACACGAAAUGAUUACCGUAUAUAUAUACACACGCGAAGGGUGCGAGCGUACACUCACUGCCCCCAGUAUCACGAUGGAUCGUUAAGACCAACUCGCUGUAUAUGACGAAUAAAGCUUGUUGUGUAAAAAAAA
Spea bombifrons (plains spadefoot toad) is the source of this 412-nucleotide long non-coding RNA. RefSeq lists it as uncharacterized. NCBI's taxonomy places the organism in Eukaryota, Metazoa, Chordata, Amphibia, Anura, Pelobatidae. The transcript has 2 exons. The record is from RefSeq and is a predicted model, not a curated record.